Small nuclear RNA from Equus asinus (donkey), 191 nucleotides. Its record names the gene U2. It matches the Rfam family "U2 spliceosomal RNA". Rfam says of the family: U2 is a small nuclear RNA (snRNA) component of the spliceosome (involved in pre-mRNA splicing). Complementary binding between U2 snRNA (in an area lying towards the 5' end but 3' to hairpin I) and the branchpoint sequence (BPS) of the intron results the bulging out of an unpaired adenosine, on the BPS, which initiates a nucleophilic attack at the intronic 5' splice site, thus starting the first of two transesterification reactions that mediate splicing. Lineage: Eukaryota; Metazoa; Chordata; Mammalia; Perissodactyla; Equidae. The record is from Ensembl.
AUUGCUUCUUGGCCUUUUGGCUAAGAUGAAGUGUAGUAUCUGUUCUUAUCAGUUUAAUAUCUGAUACAUCCUCUAUCUGAGGACAAUAUAUUAAAUGGAUCUUUGGAGCAGGGAGAUGGAAUAGGAGCUUGCUCUGUCCACUCCGCGCAUCGACUUGGUAUUGCAGUACCUCCAGGAACGGUGCACCCCCU